RNAcentral lists this long non-coding RNA (956 nucleotides) under Spirodela polyrhiza (greater duckweed). Its description in RNAcentral is "long non-coding RNA (SPOL_LNC002090)". The record is from RNAcentral. Lineage: Eukaryota; Viridiplantae; Streptophyta; Magnoliopsida; Alismatales; Araceae.
CUGAUGUUUCUGUGGCUUUAAUGUGGUUCUCCUAUCUAUCAUCAAUGGAAAGUUACUGGGAAAUUUCUUUUUUAGAAUGAUCUUUUUUGUGGCGCGAAAUAAUUUCGGAAUUUUUUUAAUCAUCGCAGCCAUGGGCGAUUUAUGUUUCUUUUACUUGAAUAAUUUUUUUAAAAAAAAAUCCGUGGUUUAGAACAUUGAAAUCCAAAUAUACUCCAACAUUGAAUCCCACUCAUUAAACAACCUCCUGCAAAUAUUUUUAAUAAAUGUAGAGUGCACAAGAGCCACGUGGAGCAUUAUCAUUGUUGGGUUUUAUUUUCGUCAUUUUAUGCCGGGGAAAAUUAUUUUUUUCAUGAAAUUAAUGACCAAUGGUUGAAGUUGAUGUCCAUAGGAGGCGAAUUAUCCUUAAAUCGGCUCUCCAAGUGCCCUGGUAAUGCUUAGUGCACCUGUGUUGAAUGAUUGCAUUAAUUUUCUUCUAAUAUUGCUCAAUUUAAUUGUGGAACUUAAUUGUGCAGCUGGUAGAGGUUCUGCUUGUUGAAGGGGCUUCAACGAAAGGCCAAGUAUUAGUAGUAAUUUGGCAUUGAAUCUGCAAAAAACAUUACAUGUGAUUUUAAUUUCUUAACUUGAAAUUAAUUGGGCUUCAAUGGAAGUGGGUUGAAGCAGCAUUGCAACCUGUGUUUACUCCUGGUGUAUUUUUUAUGUAUUUUUAAAUUAUGAAUAUAAUUCUUCACAUCAAUCGUUGAUGAUCAGAUUCCUAGUACACCGUUUCUCACAUAUUUUUUAUUUCAGGUGAGAAAAUUUUCGAAGAAAUGUUAAAUACUCAGUGCUACUAUCAACUCACAUUCUCUUUUUUUAGUAAAUAUUUUUCUUCCUUUUUUUAAUCAUUUGAUUCAUCUUUCCCUCAUCAUCAUCCCACCAUAUAUUUUUAUCCACUGAUCUCUCCCUAAUUCUCCUCCAUA